Molecule: non-coding RNA, 1827 nt
Organism: Dicentrarchus labrax (European seabass)
Lineage: Eukaryota; Metazoa; Chordata; Actinopteri; Moronidae
Source: the annotation of a RefSeq genome assembly
CAUUGAGAAACAGCAUCAUCAGAGUAAUCCAAGUCCCUGUUGGAGUCAGUCAGAGCAUUUCCAUAGAGAGCCACUUUGCAUCAGCAGCACCAUGCUCCAGUGCUCUGGGAGAGUUUAUAGUCCUGAGAGUUGAACACUGGAUGACUGACAGCUGUCCUUCAUGACAACAGAAGACACAGAAAUCCUCCUCAUCAAAAACAUGACUUUGAUCUCCGUCCUCAUCUGGACUCUCCUCUGCUGCUGCUUCACAGAGUCCAGAGGCCAGGUCACAGUGACUCAGCCUGGAGCAGUGAGCUCUGCUGUGGGAGGCUCCGUCUCCAUCAGCUGUAGGAGCAGUCAGAGGGUUGAUGAAGAUUGUGGGAGCUGGGGUAGUGACACCUGUUUAUCCUGGUACCAACAGAAAGCUGGAGAAACUCCUAAACUGCUAAUUUACUACACCAAUGAGAGAGCAUCAGGGAUUCCAACUCGUUUUUCAGGCAGUGGAUCAGGGACAGACUUCACUCUGACCAUCAGUGGAGUCCAGGCUGAAGACGCAGCAGUUUACUACUGUCAGGGUGCUAACACUGUCAACAGUCAGUAUGUGUUCACACAGUGAAAAAGCGUCGUACAAAAACCUCCCUCAGUCAGACUGAACAGAAACUGAACUGACUGCUGCAGCUGGAAGCUACUGCAGAGACUGAUACAGUUCACUGAGGACAUACACACACACACACACACACACACACACACACACACACAGUAACUUUAAACAAGGUGAAUAGUAACGAGAGAAGGAUUAAGAAACAAGAAACGCAGCUCUUGCCUUCACUCGUCUUUAUUGAAUGACAUUUUGAACAAUGAAUACUAAAUACUGAUACGACAGACACACAGUUCAACCAGUGCCACCAACACACAGAAAGAGAUGCUGCAGCAUUGAAAAUGGAGGGUUGUAGCUUUGUGUCAGUACAUAUUUCAACCUUAUGUGAGCAUCUCCAGUUGCAUAUUAAAGACAGGACAAAGUGUUUUACCACUAUGAUAAUUAGUUAUUACUAUUUUCAUAUCCGUAUCACCAGCUGGAAACAUAAAAAUAAGAUGUACCCACAGUUCUAGUACUUCCACUGUCAGUACAGUUAGCUCAUUAAAACUGUGAAAUGAUCAAAAUGCCACAAACAGGUUUGGAUGGUGGAAAAGAAAAUGUAAGUAAUGAAGUACAAGAGAAUGGUCUUAUGAACAGUCUGGCCUUGUUUUAUCUCCAAACACAGGCUCACAUUUUGCUGCUGACAUUCAUAAACUGAUUGGAGAGUUCCAGGAGGUAAAAAAUAAAGUUAAAUGAGCCCAAAAGUGGCAUUAAGGAUUUAAAGUCAAAACAUACUCAUUGUUGAAAUAAAUUACAAAUCGCUACAAAUGUUGACAACAUAUUUUAGUAAUUUUGUGUUUUGUAUUCUAACAAAAAAGAGAUUAAUGAAGUAUGUAAAUCCAUUUAAUCAGUUAAUUCUGUCCUUUUGUCAACUCUUUUAUUUGUCUUUGUGGAAAUAGUUCAAAGGAUAAAAAUAGAGAUUUAUGAUAUUCUCCUUAUGCUAAUGAUACUGUGCUUUUUAUAUGUGGUUUUAUUCAAAGAAUUUAUUUAUUUUCUUUAGAUACACCUAAAAGAAUUACAAUAUUACAGUCCUUACUAUUAAGACUGUUCAGUAAUAAGAGAUGAUUGGAUGAUUUAUUACUAAAAUGUUCCUACCUUGUUCCAAAGAUUUAUUAUUGCAGAUCUGUAAAGAUUACAGCAUAGAAUCUGCGUUUGCAGUUUGACUGUGAUUCUGUGUGAUUGUUGGUGACACAUUAUUUUCUUUAUUGACC